CCCACCUGUUUUGUGGGAAGUUAACUUUGUCUUCGUUCGGGGCACAAAGCGGCAUGGUUUGGUAUUUGUUCUUCGUUUUGUCUGUGUCAUUUUUGAAUAAAGAGGAAAUGUACGCUUACCAUGCUGCACCUUGGUCCAGUCCUUCAGCCAGCCGUGACACGGGUAAGAAUUAAGUCAUCUUCUCUCUAACAUGUUAGAGGUGGACCUCAUUUGGACCCUUCACGAAAUCCAGGAAUGGCAACAGCUGGUGUCUGACGGUGACCGAUUUUUAUUUUACCAAGUGGAUGGAGGCAAUACACAUUAAGGACCACACUGGUCCAUCGCCUUGGAGGUGGCCUCACAUCUUCAACACCCAUGGUUCUCCUAAGGUCAUCUUAAGUGACUGAGGUCGUGAACUCUGGAACAAGGUUUGGCUGAACAAACCAACCACACCCCUAAGACUGCCAUGGGCAAGUCCCUUGACGGGUUCCAGGUAUGGUGGGAGGACCAACUGAAGGUCAUUCUCUUUGCACACAACAGCAGCAGAGUACUCACCCUAUUGCCUGCUGUAUGGACAGGAGCUGCAACUGUUGACUGAGGCACAGGAGAAACAGAAGGAGAGCAACCGGAGGGGACCGACAUCCGGGCGAAUGACUUGGUUUAGAAGAAGGACGAAAGGAGGUUCCAUCCCUUACCUUCCUCAUCCACCUCACUGACAUAAAACAUUAGACAGGACCUAGGGGUUCUACCCAAAACCCAGAUGUGGAUCCACCUGAUGUCCUCCAUUACCAACCACCCUCCAACUUUUCAUUACAUCAUCUACAGCUACUGUUGUUGUCAAUAUCUGCUAAGAAAUGUUCUUGCUCUAGCAUACUGGGCACAUACUGUGAGAUACACAGAUUAACAAAAAAGUACUAGCAUUGCAAACACUCAGAACAAACAGAGCAGCAGUGCCUGGACUUCGAUGUCUAACUCUUUGAGUCCCCCUUCCGAGACUGAUUGCCUGUUGAGAACAAGUGACAGGCAGAACCUACCACUCACACAGCACCCACCUCCUCUCUAUUCCACUCACCAGAAUUCAGUAUUUCAAGCUCUGAUUGCCAUGUGAGUGAAAAUCUGUGAAAGUAAAUUGACACUGAACAAGACCUUUGAUAGGCUAGAAAACUAUGCAUUGUGGAGUUAAUCAUUGUUAUAGCCUAGAUCACUUUAUAUAAUCUGGACCAUUGUUUUUUCGAAGGCUAAGCAAACAACGGGUAGCAUAUGCUUUUUAUCCGUCUCUAUAACAAGGUUUAGGCCUAUAUCCUCACAUACUGUCUCAAUUUGAGCCCUGCUUUUAACCAUAAGAAAUUUCCCCAGAAAUGUUUUGCCUACGGAUUGCAUGGUGACAGCGAUCGUGUCUGUUAAACCAGUAAACUGGGAAGUCUGGUGAAAAAACAAGGUCAAAUCAUGACAUCUGAUUUUUAAGGUCUGAGAAAGAUGCGAGUUUCUGAAUUGGAAUUCUAAUUUGAAUGACGUUCAAAACGAUUUUUCCAGGCUGAGCUUGUUUUUCCCCAAGUUCCCAGUUGUCAUGAAUGCAGCACUAAAUUUGAAAGUCAGAGAUUGCCGAGUUCCCAGUUGUUUUGAAUGUGCCACUAAAGACCUAGACUGUCUCUUAUUUCUGAAUAGUGCUACCUCCAACAAAGAAGCCCUUGUGUCUGUAUUGAUGUGAGAAAUAGGCAUAUCUACACAUUAAUGGGGGCUGGCUGCGAUAUCAACUCGCCUAAUAAUUUUUGUAUUGAAGUGAUAUGCCUAUUUUAGCUAAAUCGACAAAUGAAAUUGAUUAGAUUACUCUGGCAAUUAAAUUUUAUUUUUACAAAAUAAUGUACAUGUAGACGUUUGUAAGGCGUUCAUGGUGAGAUUGUUCAUAAUAAAUUUACAAGCAAAUUGACACGCGACGUGUCAGUGCCACAUUU
Molecule: long non-coding RNA, 1931 nt
Organism: Oncorhynchus kisutch (coho salmon)
Lineage: Eukaryota; Metazoa; Chordata; Actinopteri; Salmoniformes; Salmonidae
Exons: 6
Source: RefSeq, a predicted model, not a curated record